AACGAACGCUGGCGGCAUGCCUAACACAUGCAAGUCGAACGAAGCCUUCGGGCUUAGUGGCGCACGGGUGCGUAACGCGUGGGAAUCUGCCCUUGGGUUCGGAAUAACAGUUAGAAAUGACUGCUAAUACCGGAUGAUGUCUUCGGACCAAAGAUUUAUCGCCCAAGGAUGAGCCCGCGUAGGAUUAGGUAGUUGGUGGGGGAAUGGCCCACCAAGCCGACGAUCCUUAGCUGGUCUGAGAGGAUGAUCAGCCACAAUGGAACUGAGACACGGCCCAGACUCCUACGGGAGGCAGCAGUGGGGAAUAUUGGACAAUGGGCGAAAGCCUGAUCCAGCAAUGCCGCGUGAGUGAUGAAGGCCUUAGGGUUGUAAAGCUCUUUUACCAGGGAUGAUAAUGACAGUACCUGGAGAAUAAGCUCCAGCUAACUCCGUGCCAGCCGCCGCAGUAA
This 449-nucleotide ribosomal RNA is filed under the name uncultured bacterium. RNAcentral's name for it is "partial 16S ribosomal RNA". It matches the Rfam family "Bacterial small subunit ribosomal RNA", at positions 29 to 523 of the family's 1533-position model. The record is from RNAcentral.